Molecule: ribosomal RNA, 253 nt
Filed under: uncultured bacterium
Lineage: Bacteria
Description: partial 16S ribosomal RNA
Rfam family: Bacterial small subunit ribosomal RNA
Source: RNAcentral
GACGAACUGUCCUACCGUUGUUCGGAAUCACUGGGCUUAAAGGGCGCGUAGGCGGUCGACCAAGUCAGGGGUGAAAUCCUGCAGCUUAACUGUAGAAGUGCCUUUGAUACUGGUCGUCUCGAGGGAGGUAGGGGUGUGUGGAACUUCCAGUGGAGCGGUGAAAUGCGUUGAUAUUGGAAGGAACGCCGGAGGCGAAAGCGACCACCUGGACUGAUACUGACACUGAGGUGCGAAAGCGUGGGGAGCAAACAGG